CCUACGGGAGGCAGCAGUGAGGAAUAUUGGUCAAUGGGCGCGAGCCUGAACCAGCCAAGUCGCGUGAGGGAAGACGGUCCUAUGGAUUGUAAACCUCUUUUGUCGGGGAGCAAAAGACGCCACGCGUGGCGUUCCGAGAGUACCCGAAGAAAAAGCAUUGGCUAACCUCCGGCCAGCAGCCGCGGGAAUACGGAGGAUGCGAGCGUUAUCCGGAUUUAUUGGGUUUAAAGGGUGCGGAGGGGGAAGUUCAAGUCAGCGGUAAAAUUGAGAGGCUCAACCUCUUCGAGCCGUUGAAACUGGGGAUCUAGAGUGUGCGAGAGGUAUGCGGAAUGCGUGGUGUAGCGGUGAAAUGCAUAGAUAUCACGCAGAACCCCGAUUGCGAAGGCAGCAUACCGGUGCACAACUGACGCUCAGGCACGAAAGCGUGGGUAUCGAACAGGAUUAGAUACCCGAGUAGUC
This 459-nucleotide ribosomal RNA is filed under the name uncultured bacterium. RNAcentral describes it as "partial 16S ribosomal RNA". It matches the Rfam family "Bacterial small subunit ribosomal RNA", at positions 338 to 795 of the family's 1533-position model. The record is from RNAcentral.